This 497-nucleotide ribosomal RNA is filed under the name uncultured bacterium. Its description in RNAcentral is "partial 16S ribosomal RNA". It matches the Rfam family "Bacterial small subunit ribosomal RNA", at positions 28 to 507 of the family's 1533-position model. The record is from RNAcentral.
GACGAACGCUGGCGGCGUGCCUAAUACAUGCAAGUAGAACGCUGAAGGAAGGAGCUUGCUCUUUCCGGAUGAGUUGCGAACGGGUGAGUAACGCGUAGGUAACCUGCCUGGUAGCGGGGGAUAACUAUUGGAAACGAUAGCUAAUACCGCAUAACAGUAGAUGUUGCAUGAUAUCUACUUAAAAGGUGCAAUUGCACCACUACCAGAUGGACCUGCGUUGUAUUAGCUAGUUGGUGAGGUAACGGCUCACCAAGGCGACGAUACAUAGCCGACCUGAGAGGGUGAUCGGCCACACUGGGACUGAGACACGGCCCAGACUCCUACGGGAGGCAGCAGUAGGGAAUCUUCGGCAAUGGACGGAAGUCUGACCGAGCAACGCCGCGUGAGUGAAGAAGGUUUUCGGAUCGUAAAGCUCUGUUGUAAGAGAAGAACGAGUGUGAGAGUGGAAAGUUCACACUGUGACGGUAUCUUACCAGAAAGGGACGGCUAACUACGUG